This 2681-nucleotide small RNA is filed under the name Pan troglodytes (chimpanzee). Its description in RNAcentral is "retained intron". The record is from RNAcentral. Lineage: Eukaryota; Metazoa; Chordata; Mammalia; Primates; Hominidae.
ACUUUACACAUGGAGAAGCAGACGCAGAGAUGAUAGAAUCUUUCGCCCAAGGCCACAUCUGUAUUGGGACGGGGGCAGACUGGCACCCAAGUGCCCAUUCCUCCCUUCUGACCAGCCCCCACCCCUCCGGCUCUGGCGUCCAAAGGGCUAAGGGGAGGAGUGCCCUUGCCUUUGCCCGCCGCUCGCCCACUGCAACCCGCUUUCUCACCCUACCCCUACCCCGCCUUGAUCGCGGCUGGUGACAGUCACCCGCCUUCUCCCCUGCAGCCGCGCCGCGGAUCGUCAACAUUUCGGUGCUGCCCAGUGCGGCUCACGCCUUCCGCGCGCUCUGCACUGCCGAAGGGGAGCCGCCGCCCGCCCUCGCCUGGUCCGGCCCGGCCCUGGGCAACAGCUUGGCCGCCGUGCGGAGCCCGGGUGAGGGUCACGGCCACCUAGUGACCGCCGAACUGCCCGCACUGACCCAUGACGGCCGCUACACGUGUACGGCCGCCAACAGCCUGGGCCGCUCCGAGGCCAGCGUCUACCUGUUCCGCUUCCAUGGCGCCAGCGGGGCCUCGACGGUCGCCCUCCUGCUCGGCGCUCUCGGCCUCAAGGCGCUGCUGCUGCUCGGGGUCCUGGCCGCCCGCGCCGCCCGCCGCCGCCCAGAGCAUCUGGACACCCCGGACACCCCACCACGGUCCCAGGCCCAGGAGUCCAAUUAUGAAAAUUUGAGCCAGAUGAACCCCCGGAGCCAACCAGCCACCAUGUGCUCACCGUGAGGAGUCCCUCAGCCACCAACAUCCAUUUCAGCACUGUAAAGAAUAAAGGCCAGUGCGAGGCUUGGCUGGUACAGCCAGUCCUGGUUCUCGGGCACCUUGGCAGCCCCCAGAUGGGUGACUCCUCCCCCGCUCGAGGUCAAGACCCUGCUCAAGGAGGCUCAUCUGGCCUCCUAUGUGGACAACCAUUUCGGAGCUCCCUGAUAUUUUUGCCAGCAUUUCGUAAAUGUGCAUACGUCUCUGUGUGUGUGUGUGUGUGUGUGUGUGUGUGUGUGUGUGUGUGAGAGAGAGAGAGAGAGAGAGAGUACAUGCAUUAGCUUGAGCGUGAAACUUCCAGAAAUGUUCCCUUGCCCUUUCUUACCUAGAACACCUGCUAUAGUAAAGCAGAUAGGAAACUGUUUACAGGGACUGGAGGCCCAGUCUUGUCCUCCUCUGUCACCGACUUGCUGUGUGGACCUGGGACACUCUCUUCACUUCUCUGGGUCUCAAUUCAUUUACUGUUGAACACGGACAAUCAUAUUCUUCCCUCCUGGCUGGGAGGACUACAAAGAUGUGAGGAAAUAAUAGAUAUGAAGGGGCUUUGGAAAGUACAAAGCCAUCUUCUUGUGAGGGGCAUGACAGGACCCUCUUUGCAGAGUGACAUUUGGACGUGCAGUCAGUUCUCGGAGAAGUGUGGCCCCUGCAGCAGGGUCAUGGAGAACACAGAGUUCCAGAGAGCAAGCCUGGGGCAGGGGCUGUGCAAAUCUGUGGUCAGAGGAACAUCAAAUCCUGGAAACUUGGUGGCAGGGAGAGGCCUGGGGCCUUUACCCCAUGCCCCCUGGGAUCUCCACUGUGACUGUCCCACACCCUCUGCCCAACUCUUGCCCCAUCAGCUGCCCUGCAUUGCCUUGAGCUGGGACCCUUAGGAAAUGGAAACCAGGCUCCCCUCUCUCAAGGUAUCUGGGAACCACUGUCUCAGGAGCUGAAGCCGGGAGACCUGAGGGGAGGUCUGGCCAGAGAGUCCCUGUGUGUAAAGCAGCUACAGCUCUGACCUCUCUGACCUGCAACCUCUCAGGGUGUGCAAAGUCCAAAUGCACUGGCAACUUCACCCCCUUUGCCCUAACGCGGGCAGGCUGACUUGGAGGGGUGCUUCCCUAUUUACACCUCAGGGUGAAUUUGUUGAUCACCUUAGCUCCUGUGGUCCUUGAGGCUUAGGGAGAGGAGGGAGGCAUGCCUGGGUCCCAGGUGAGCUGGCAAGAGGAAAGGGCCACAGUCUAGGGGAAUAAUGAGGCCAUGAACAAGACAUCUCACCCCAGUUACAAUGGCUUUUAUCCAAAAGACAGGCAAUGACAAAUGCUGAUGAGAAAGUGGAGAAAGAGGAAUCCCCAUACACUAUUGGUGGGAAUGUAAAUUAGUAUAGCCACUAUGGAGAACAGUACAGAGUUUCCUCAAAAAACUAAAAAUAGGCCAGGCAUGGUGGCUCAUGCCUGUAAUCCCAGCACUCUGGGAGGCCGAGGCAGGCGGAUCACUUGAGGUCAGGAGUUCGAGACCAGCCUAGCCAACAUGGUAAAACUCUGUCUCUACUAAAAAUACAAAAAUUAGCUGGGCGUGCUGGCACGUGCCUAUAGUCCCAGCAACUUGGGAGGCUGAGGCAGAAGUAUUGCUUGAACCAGGAGGUGGAGGUUGCAGUGGGCUGAGAUCACCCCACUGUCCUCCAGCCUGGGCAACAGAUAGACUGUCUCCAAAGAAAAAAAAAGAAAUAGAACUACCAUAUGAUCCAGUAAUCCCACUGCUGGGUAUCUGUCAGCAAGGAAAUCAGUAUAUUGAAAAGAUACCAGUACUCCCAUGUUUACUGCAGCACUAUUUGCAAUAGCCAAGUAUGGAAUCAGCCCAAGUGUCCAUCCACGAAUGAAUGAAGAAAAUGAACACACAAUGAAAUAUUCAGCC